UCUUUGUAUAGAAAACGAUUAUGGAAAUUUUUUUUUUACCUUGUAUUCUUUCCAUCUCUCUUCUACAUUUAUGCUUCUUUUAAGAGUGUAAAUUGUGAUUCCUUUCUUCCCAAGUGUGAUUGCUUAGGAAACCUUGGAUGUAAUUGCCAAAGGUUUUUUUCUUUUUUCUUUUUAAUUUAUUUAUUCUAGUCAUCUUUUAGUUUUCUCUCCUUAUUCUAUAACACAAGAAGGUUGUAUAGUGUUAGAAAAUUUAAGAUUAUGCAACACUUAAUAUAGGACUCCCUUUCCUAGUUGGAAUAUGACUCAUUUUCCUAAUGUAGUUAGAAGUUACAUAAAAGAAAGCAGAAAUUUCACCCAAAAAAACAGGAGGCAAACUAAAACCAAUCCUAAUAAAAUAAAUACACUCCAAACAAACCCAACCAUAAGCUACUAGUUCAGCCAAUGCCAAAAAUAUAAAAUCACAAAACUAUCCUUGCUGAAAUAAUCGUAUAAUAAAACCUAAAUUUAUCACAUGAGGUCCUAAGAGGAACUUAAAUGCUCAUUUGCAUCUUAAAUUCAGGCUUGGGCAUUUGAACCAUUUUUUUUCCUUUUCUCUUCUAAGUCUUCAAAUUCUGACAUUGUUCCCCAUCACUUUAUUAACAAUUAAAAGAGUAUAUUUUUUUUUACUAUCCCCAUCAUCUCUUUUGAACCUUCUCUGCUUAGCAAAUUGGGUUUUGUAUCUCCAUUUGACCUCUAGUUCCUUGUUGCAUUUUUUUUGUUUUUGGGAUAAUAGUGGAUUUCAUUGACACCAUCCGUUGGAAAGAUGAUGUCAAUCAGUAUUGCACAUAAUCUAGUGCAACAUGAUUGAACUAAACACAAAAAUUGAUAGACAUUUUAUCAAGGAGAAGCUAGAUAGUGGAUUGAUCUGUACGCCUUAUGUAUCUAUUGACCACUAACUUGUGGAUAUACUCACAAAAGGUUUAAGCAGUACAAAGUUUCAAACAAGUGUAUCCAAGCUGGGAAUGGAAAACAUUUAUUCACCAACUUGAGGGGGAGUGUGGAAGAAUGGAAUUAGGGAAGUUGUGAUUUUGUAGAGAGAAUUUGACAAUCCCGUGAUCGAAGGGAUGUGUUGUAAUUGAGUUAUGAAAGUUCUUAAAAUGCUAGGAUUUUUUGUAUAUAUAUAUAUAUAUAUGUGAGUCUCUGUAUAGAACAUGAUUAUGGAAAUUUUUUUUUUACCUUGUAUUCUUUCCAUCUCUCUUCUACAUUUGUGCUUCUUUUAAGAGUGUAAAUUGUGAUUCCUUUCUUCCCAAGUGUGAUUGCUUAGGAAACCUUGGAUGUAAUUGCCAAAGGUUUUUUUCUUUUUUUUUUUUUUAAUUUAUUUAUUCUAGUCAUCUUUUAGUUUUCUCUCCUUAUUCUAUAACACAAGAAGGUUGUAUAAUGUUAGAAAAUUUAAGAUUAUGCAACACUUAAUAUAGGACUCCCUUUCCUAGUUGGAAUAUGACUCCUUUUCCUAAUGUAGUUAGAAGUUACAUAAAAGAAAGCAGAAAUUUCACCCAAGAAAACAGGAGGCAAACUAAAACCAAUCCUAAUAAAAUAAAUACACUCCAAACAAACCCAACCAUAAGCUGCUAGUUCAGCCAAUGCCAAAAAUAUAAGUCACUAAACUACCCUUGCUGAAAUAAUCGUAUAAUAAAACCUAAAUUUAUCACAUGAGGUCCCAAGCGGAACUUAAAUGCUCAUUUGCAUCUUAAAUUCAGGCUUGGGCAUUUGAACCAUUUUUUUCCUUUUCUCUUCUAAGCCUUCAAAUUCUGACAUUGUUCCCCAUCACUUUAUUAACAAUUAAAAGAGUAUAUUUUUCUUUACUAUCCCCAUCGUCUCUUUUGAACCUUCUCUGCUUAGCAGAUUGGGUUUUGUAUCUCCAUUUGACCUCUAGUUCCUUGUUGCAUUUUUUUGUUUUUGGGAUAAUACUGGAUUUCAUUGACACCAUCCGUUGGAAAGAUGAUGCAAUUCGUGGAUUGACAAGUGCAAUUGUUCCAAAAACUGGUCAAGCUUCAGGAUUUGGUGUGCAUUAUUGAGUAGAUUUUAGAUCUCCUCUGUUAUCAUACAUAAUUCACCAGAAUCCAGUGGAUCAAAGGAGUAUAUUUGGAGAUUCUAAACUGCUGGAAAGCAAUAUUUUGAUCAUUCCAUCAUCCAUGUGAAAUUUAUCAAGGUUGUCCGUAUCAUCUUAGCUACCUC
RNAcentral lists this long non-coding RNA (2214 nucleotides) under Vitis vinifera (wine grape). Its description in RNAcentral is "long non-coding RNA (VVIN_LNC001125)". The record is from RNAcentral. Lineage: Eukaryota; Viridiplantae; Streptophyta; Magnoliopsida; Vitales; Vitaceae.